Molecule: long non-coding RNA, 831 nt
Organism: Malus domestica (apple)
Lineage: Eukaryota; Viridiplantae; Streptophyta; Magnoliopsida; Rosales; Rosaceae
Source: RefSeq, a predicted model, not a curated record
CAUUGAUGACAAUUUAAAGAUUAAAUCGUUGUUCCUUGUAUUACCAGACCACGAGUUAUAAAUUAAAGUAUACAAAGUCUGAAAUAGUUGAUAAACCAUAGAGAUUUCAAGUAUUUGAAGUCCAAAUGAACAGCCAACUCAUACCAGAUCUGUUAAAGAAGAUCAACAUGGGGAAAUUUAUUCAUAGUUGUUUAAGUAGCCUUUGAAUUGAAUACACCUUAAUUUGAGAGUCAAGCAAAGUCCAUCAAAUUCCGGACGCAAUACCCCCGCCCCCCCCCUUAGUCAUUGAUUUUCUGUAUCAUUUCAAUACUACAUACCAUUGAAUAAUUUUCCCAAUUUUAUACCAGUAACUCAAAGCUAGCUCAUGAUGAUUUCAACCACUUCCACAAUCCACAUCAUAUGUACAGCAUAAGGAAAAUGAUUUAGAUCGCUUACCAAAUGAUACUCCUACAGGCUGCAUUCUCACUAUUAAGCGCUCAAUUCCGAGGGCUGGAAACGAUGGCCACUCUCUCUAAUGACUUUGUUCAUCUGUAUGUUUUCUCCAAUUCUACUAUGGAAGUGUUAAAUAUACUAGCACAAUAAUUCUAUCUGAUGUAAAGAACCGCAUCUUUGUUGUUCAUUAUCAAACAUACAAAGCAGGAACCUGCAUUGUUUGACGUAUUCUAGUUGUUAGUGUAGGAGAAUCUAAUUAGUAUUCUUAUGGGCUAGGUCUUGUAAAUCUCAGUGGACUUAGGUUUACUUGUACAUCAAGUCAAUCGACCUAUAUAUAUAUGUAUAUGUAUAUAUGUAUCCUUAUGAGAUCAAUUGUAUCAAUACAAUUAUAAUUCUACA